RNAcentral lists this ribosomal RNA (255 nucleotides) under uncultured bacterium. RNAcentral's name for it is "partial 16S ribosomal RNA". It matches the Rfam family "Bacterial small subunit ribosomal RNA", at positions 524 to 776 of the family's 1533-position model. The record is from RNAcentral.
UACAGAGGGUGCAAGCGUUGUUCGGAAUUAUUGGGCGUAAAGAGCUCGUAGGCGGCUUGUCGCGUCGUCCGUGAAAAACCUGCGGCUCAACUGCAGGCUGGCGGUCGAUACGGGCAGGCUGGAGUUCGGUAGGGGGAGACUGGAAUUCCUGGUGUAGCGGUGAAAUGCGUAGAUAUCGGGAGGAACACCUGUGGCGAAAGCGGCUCACUGGACCACAACUGACGCUGAUGCGCGAAAGCUAGGGGAGCAAACAGG